ACAAACUUGGUCAUUUAGAGGAAGUAAAAGUCGUAACAAGGUUUCCGUAGGUGAACCUGCGGAAGGAUCAUUAACAAUUAUCCUGUUUUUUAUGGGUAAUUUAUCCAUAUACACCUUGUGUGAAUUAUUGAAGUGUGAGUUGGCAGGUAGACCUUGGUUUUUAAGCGCGGGACGCGUAGAGUUUCAAGUUUACCACUUGUGGGGAGACUCUUGAUAUCUCUCGGCCUGCCAAUUUUAUUUGUCUCGACAUGUCUAUAUCACUUUAGUCUGAAAUAUAAAUAAUAAUUAAUUAAAUACAACUUUCAACAACGGAUCUCUUGGCUCUCGCAUCGAUGAAGAACGCAGC
RNAcentral lists this unclassified non-coding RNA (346 nucleotides) under uncultured fungus. RNAcentral describes it as "partial contains small subunit ribosomal RNA, internal transcribed spacer 1, and 5.8S ribosomal RNA". The stretch from base 1 to 73 matches the Rfam family "Eukaryotic small subunit ribosomal RNA", at positions 1759 to 1831 of the family's 1831-position model. The record is from RNAcentral. Lineage: Eukaryota; Fungi.